Molecule: non-coding RNA, 435 nt
Organism: Python bivittatus (Burmese python)
Lineage: Eukaryota; Metazoa; Chordata; Lepidosauria; Squamata; Pythonidae
Source: the annotation of a RefSeq genome assembly
UUGCCACAAAUGAGCUUCCUGUUGUUUACUGCUCUCUGGUCCUUGUCAGCUGCUGCUAUUGAUCAGCUCUCAGAUGUCACAGUAAUGAAAGGGGGUCAAACUACACUGACAUGUUCUCAAAAGGAAACCAGCCAUACAUAUAUGUAUUGGUACAAGCAAGAGAAGAGGAAGGCUGCCCAUUCACCGUUGCAGCUGGUGAUUUUCACAUAUGAAGGUACUGGAGGAGACUCUGCCAUCGAGAAACCCUUUAACAGCCGCUUCAAGACAACAGGGAUGAAGAGUAAUAGCUUGCCUCUGUCUCUGGAGGACGCCCAGGUGGAAGACACGGGCACCUACUACUGUGCCUCACAAGAUUACACAGCCGAGCAAACGCUGAGGAAGCCGAGCAGAAACCUCUUCACAGGAAAACCUCUUGUGGCAGAUCCUUCCCAAUAG